This 73-nucleotide transfer RNA is filed under the name Blyttiomyces helicus. It matches the Rfam family "tRNA". Rfam says of the family: Transfer RNA (tRNA) molecules are approximately 80 nucleotides in length. Their secondary structure includes four short double-helical elements and three loops (D, anti-codon, and T loops). RNAcentral also lists the same sequence under 1 other name. The record is from Rfam by way of RNAcentral. Lineage: Eukaryota; Fungi; Chytridiomycota; Chytridiomycetes.
GGGCCUAUGGCCAAAUGGAUACGGCGCCUGACUACGAAUCAGGAGAUUCCAGGUUCGACCCCUGGUAGGCUCG